CAAGUCCGCGCGCGCUUCCGGGUGCCCCGCCCCCGGCGCCGGGGAUCCCAGCCCGCCCGCACGUGCACCGCCCGGCGGAGCCCGCCGGUCAGGCCCCACCCCCGGCCCGAGGCCCUGGCGCCGGGAGAAAGCGAGGACCUGACGACCGGCUCCCGGGAGUGGGCGCCGGCGGCGGGGCCUAGGGCUGGGCCGGCACCUCCGCCCCGCCCGGCCCGGUGCGGCCCCGCCGGCGGCUGCGGGCGGUACGUGGGCGGGGCAACCCCAGAGCCCUGGGCCGGAGGGAGGUGCCGAUGGAAAGACGGCAAACCCGGGAACCCGGAGUAUUUCCUAGGCACCGGACACCCGUGGGUCGGCCAGUCUUCAUUCGGACGCCGGCCGCAAGCUUAGGUGGAGAUCUCCACCGCAAAUUGUUACCGAGAGAACAAAGUCUUCAAGUUUAUAAUCCAGUGACUCACUCACAGCCACACUUCAUAAAUCAAAAAAACCCCAGAACUGACUCUUCUGUCAUUUGAUACAUGAAGGGGCAAGAUAAUGUCACCUCUGAUAGCUACCUGAAGAAGAAACAACCAUUUCUUCAGAAAAAUACAACAUGGCUCAAGAACGUUUCAGAUAAUAAUUACCAAC
Molecule: long non-coding RNA, 624 nt
Organism: Mirounga angustirostris (Northern elephant seal)
Lineage: Eukaryota; Metazoa; Chordata; Mammalia; Carnivora; Phocidae
Exons: 3
Source: RefSeq, a predicted model, not a curated record